Molecule: non-coding RNA, 358 nt
Organism: Paramuricea clavata
Lineage: Eukaryota; Metazoa; Cnidaria; Anthozoa; Malacalcyonacea; Plexauridae
Source: the annotation of a GenBank genome assembly
GGAAUGAGGGUCUCCCAGGGGUUUUGGGGGAACAAGGGAACACUGUAAAUUUUACAAUAGGAACACGGGAACAAAGGAAACAAAAUUAGGGAACAAGGGAACACGAAAUACAUUGGGGAACAGGGGAACAAAGCCCCUUUCCUAGAAUAUAUACAAGUGUUACAAUCAUAGGCGUACGGGGCCGCUAAAUUCUGGGGGGGCGGUAGCUUUUUUGCCCAAAAAAUUCCACAUUGCCCAAAAACUUUUUUUCCGGAAAAAUUAUUUUGGCGACCCCCCCCCCCGUCGCCAAAAAAAUUUCGGUCAGUGUACCAUUUUAGGGGUCAAAAAAUUUUUCCGGACAACCAAUAUUUUUCGGAAC